CCAGCUGCUUGAGGAAGUCAGGGUCAUUGAAGGAGGCAACCUGCAGGAAAGAGGCGGGAGCUGGGGUGAGCCAUGCCUAAUGGCUCUCCCACACAGCGAGCGGAGGGAGAGCACACACCAGGAACUUCAGAAGCCAGAGGUAACCAAGAGAGUCAAGAGGGAGGCAAAGCCUAGGAAAAAACAGAAAACCACUAAUGAGUCCCAGCAAUCCCACUCUUGGGUGUAUGCCCUGGAGGACCAUGAAUGUGGGCACAGCCAGGGCUGGUGAGGUGGCUCAGUGGGUAAAGGCACUUGCCCAUGCAAGCCUGAGUUCAGUCCCUAGCACUCACAUGCUAGAUGGAGAGAAUCAAAUCCACAAAGUUGUCCUCCGACUGCGACAUGCAUGACCCCCCCCCGAAACAUACAUAAAAAAAAAGUGUGCAUACAAAUGUCCAUAGCAGCACCAGAAAGUGGAAAUAACCCAGAUGUUCUUCAACUGUUGAUGGAUCAAGACAUUUGGUAUGUCCACACAAAGGAAUAUUAUACAACUGUAAAGAGGGACAUAGCACCCGUUGUGGAAUAUUAGUUGAAGAUGUGUUACACUUGUUUACGCUGUAGAAUAUUUGUUUAAUGAUGCAAAGAUGUGUUGCAUUCUUUUAUGUUGCAUUUGUCUAACUCUGUGAAGCUGUGUUACUGUGCCUGUCUAAAACACCUGAUGGUCUAAUAAAGAGCUGAACGGCCAAUAGCGAGGCAGGAGGAGGAUAGGUGGGGCUGGCAGGCUGAGAGAAUAAAUAGACGGAGGGAAAAAAGAAAAGGAACGAGAAAAAGAAGAGAAAGGGAUGACAGGGGCCAGCCACCCAGCCACCCAGCCAGACACAGAACAAAAAGAAAACAAAAGAUACACAGAAAUAGAAAAAGAUAAAAGCCUAGAGGCAAAAGGCAGAUGGGAUAAUUUAAGCUGGCUAGAAACAAGCCAAGCUAAGGCCAGGCAUUCCUAAGUAAGCAUAAGACUCCGUGUAUUUGGCAGCUGGGUGGCAGGCCCCCAAAGAGUAAAGAGCUAAAGAACAUUCAACCACAAACACCCACACCUGCUACAGCAUGGUCGAACCCCUACAGCGUAAAAGAAACCAGUUACAAAAGACUAACUACUACCGUAUGGUCCUAUCCCUAGGAGAUAUCCAGAACAGGCAAAGCCAUGGAGACAGGAAACAUUAGCAGCUGCCAGGGGCUAGGGAGCAGCCAGCUGGGACAAGCACUGUUGUUCUUGGUGGGGGUAGGGAUGGAGGUAAUAAAAAUAUUCUAAGCUGAGUCUUAACUGUUCCAGGUCUCUGAAAAUAUGCUAAAAAGCCACAGAAGUUUCUGUUUUGAAUGAGUGAGAGACUGCUAAUUGAGGGCCUGCUGCUGGGGGUCGAUGCAGAGCGGGAAGCGGCUGGCCCGGGUGGUAAGGAUGCCGUUCUGAACCGAGAGCUCAUCGGGGGGAAGGCCCUGGGAACCCCACCUGCAAGGGACGACCACAGGGAGAUGGACGUUCCCCCACCAAGUGACCAGAGAUGAGCUUGUCGGCCGCGAUCAGCCGCCUCUCCAUGAUCUCUGCCUCCUCCUGCAGCUUCUGCUUCUCCAGGAUGGCGGCCUCGUACUUGGCCCCCAGAGCCUCCAG
Long non-coding RNA from Peromyscus californicus insignis, 1636 nucleotides. RefSeq lists it as uncharacterized. The record is from RefSeq and is a predicted model, not a curated record. NCBI's taxonomy places the organism in Eukaryota, Metazoa, Chordata, Mammalia, Rodentia, Cricetidae. The transcript has 3 exons.